AACGAACGCUGGCGGCAGGCCUAACACAUGCAAGUCGAGCGAGACCUUCGGGUCUAGCGGCGGACGGGUUAGUAACGCGUGGGAACGUGCCCUUCUCUGCGGAAUAGCCACUGGAAACGGUGAGUAAUACCGCAUACGCCCUUCGGGGGAAAGAUUUAUCGGAGAAGGAUCGGCCCGCGUUAGAUUAGAUAGUUGGUGGGUAACGGCCUACCAAGUCUACGAUCUAUAGCUGGUUUUAGAGGAUGAUCAGCAACACUGGGACUGAGACACGGCCCAGACUCCUACGGGAGGCAGCAGUGGGAAGUCUUAGACAAUGGGCGCAAGCCUGAUCUAGCCAUGCCGCGUGUGUGAUGAAGGUCUUAGGAUCGUAAAGCACUUUCGCCAGGGAUGAUAAUGACAGUACCUGGUAAAGAAACCCCGGCUAACUCCGUG
This 432-nucleotide ribosomal RNA is filed under the name uncultured bacterium. Its description in RNAcentral is "bacterial SSU rRNA". It matches the Rfam family "Bacterial small subunit ribosomal RNA", at positions 29 to 507 of the family's 1533-position model. The record is from RNAcentral.